Molecule: ribosomal RNA, 452 nt
Filed under: Massilia sp. JS1662
Lineage: Bacteria; Pseudomonadati; Pseudomonadota; Betaproteobacteria; Burkholderiales; Oxalobacteraceae
Description: bacterial SSU rRNA
Rfam family: Bacterial small subunit ribosomal RNA
Source: RNAcentral
AUUAAACUGAAGAGUUUGAUCCUGGCUCAGAUUGAACGCUGGCGGCAUGCUUUACACAUGCAAGUCGAACGGCAGCGCGGGGCAACCUGGCGGCGAGUGGCGAACGGGUGAGUAAUACAUCGGAACGUACCCAGAAGUGGGGGAUAACGUAGCGAAAGUUACGCUAAUACCGCAUACGUUCUACGGAAGAAAGUGGGGGAUCUUCGGACCUCAUGCUUUUGGAGCGGCCGAUGUCUGAUUAGCUAGUUGGUGAGGUAAAGGCUCACCAAGGCGACGAUCAGUAGCUGGUCUGAGAGGACGACCAGCCACACUGGGACUGAGACACGGCCCAGACUCCUACGGGAGGCAGCAGUGGGGAAUUUUGGACAAUGGGCGCAAGCCUGAUCCAGCAAUGCCGCGUGAGUGAAGAAGGCCUUCGGGUUGUAAAGCUCUUUUGUCAGGGAAGAAACGGU